RNAcentral lists this ribosomal RNA (301 nucleotides) under uncultured bacterium. Its description in RNAcentral is "partial 16S ribosomal RNA". It matches the Rfam family "Bacterial small subunit ribosomal RNA", at positions 509 to 807 of the family's 1533-position model. The record is from RNAcentral.
CAGCAGCCACGGUAAUACGGAGGGUGCAAGCGUUAAUCGGAAUUACUGGGCGUAAAGGGCGUGUAGGCGGUUUCGUAUGUCUGGCGUGAAAGCCCCGGGCUCACCUCGGGAAGUGCGUCGGAAACUGCGAGACUAGAGUCCCGGAGAGGGAGGUGGAAUUCCAGGUGUAGCGGUGAAAUGCGUAGAUAUCUGGAAGAACACCGGUGGCGAAAGCGACCUCCUGGACGGUGACUGACGCUGAGGCACGAAAGCGUGGGGAGCAAACAGGAUUAGAUACCCCCGUAGUCCCUGUCUCUUAUAC